UGAGGGUGACACUCCCGUCCGCCUGGCAGAGUGAGUCAUUUGUCAACGAGUCGAGUUGUUUGGGAUUGCAGCUCUAAUUUGGUGGUAAAUUCCAUCUAAAGCUAAAUAUUGGUGGGAGACCGAUAGCGUACAAGUACCGUGAGGGAAAGAUGCAAAGAACUUUGAAAAGAGAGUUAAAGAGUACCUGAAACUGCCGAAACGGAAGCGAAGGAAACCAGUGUUUGUUUGUUCAUAUUUCCCUGGCCACUUGUGGUUUGGGCGCUGUGGGCUUGCGUGGGUUUACUUUGGUUGAUCCCUUUGGAAGAGCGCAGUCAGAGUUGAUGUCU
RNAcentral lists this ribosomal RNA (326 nucleotides) under Pseudo-nitzschia hasleana. Its description in RNAcentral is "partial large subunit ribosomal RNA". It matches the Rfam family "Eukaryotic large subunit ribosomal RNA", at positions 207 to 544 of the family's 3401-position model. Lineage: Eukaryota; Bacillariophyta; Bacillariophyceae; Bacillariales; Bacillariaceae. The record is from RNAcentral.